UAUGUAUUCCUUCCGUUCGAAAAUACUAUUUAUCAUCAAAAUGGAUGAAAAUGAUGUAUCUAGAACUAAAAUAUGUCUAGAUACAUCUUCUUUUAUCCAUUUUAAUGACAAGUGUUUCUGGAUGGAGGGAGUAGGUU
This is a non-coding RNA of Triticum urartu, 137 nucleotides long. Lineage: Eukaryota; Viridiplantae; Streptophyta; Magnoliopsida; Poales; Poaceae. The record is from Rfam.